Molecule: long non-coding RNA, 31436 nt
Filed under: Cucumis sativus (cucumber)
Lineage: Eukaryota; Viridiplantae; Streptophyta; Magnoliopsida; Cucurbitales; Cucurbitaceae
Description: long non-coding RNA (CSAT_LNC000005)
Source: RNAcentral
GUCCUACUUCGGUUAAUUACGGAUGGUCCUACUUCGGUUAAUUACGGAUGGUCCUACGGAUAAAUCCUCCGGACUACUUCCCUCCAUAUGGAUGGUCCUACUUCUAAUGGAUAGUCCUACGGAUAAGAAUCCUCCGGACUCCGGACGUAGGAUAAAUCCUGCGGACUGCGGACUCCGGACUACGGAUAAAUCCUCCGGACCUGUCUUAUGGAACCUUCGGUCUUAAUACUCCUAACUACGGGGUGAGGUGCAAAGAAUAUUGACAGUCUUUCUCUCUCGCAGCUGAGACUCGGCCCUUGCUUCCUGCCAAUGCAUUCUCAUACCAACUCCUAGAAGAUAUAGCAUAUUCUCUACCCACUACGCGGUAUUCUACCUGCGGAUAGCUGAUCUUCCCGCUCCGUGGGCUAAGUAGAAGAGGAAGAAGAGAAGACCAGAGACUUGGCCGCCGACAGAAAAGGGGUCCUUUCCUUCCGAUCCUGGGCCUGGUCCCUUUCGUCGAAAGUAAUAAGUCGAUAACCCUGAAAUGAAACUGAAACCUACACAGCAAGAACGACCUCAAUGAACAAGGGGCCCCAAGAGGACGUUGAAAGAAUGAAUCGCCGAAAUGAAAUAAUGCAUUAAUCUCCUCGCGAAUUAGACGCCCGACCAAAGGUUCUUUCAUCAUCAGCAUAUGUGGAUUCAGUCGGGACGUUUUUGAGGUUCUUUUGCACGAUCUCAAAACCCACUACGCGGCGCUUUCUUUACAUCUUUCGACCUUAAAGCCACUUAUCUCAUAACCUCACGAAUGAAAGAGCAUGCAGACUGGUUAGCAGCUUCAUACCGCCCCCUGGGAUGGGAAUACGAGACAGCGGACCACUCUCCUACUCUUUCUAUUCGCAUAACCGAUCUCCUUUCCAGUCGUAUUCAAACCUCUGCCUAUAUUGGGGAGGAUUCUAGACGCGGGAAGAAACCUAUCCAAAGCCUGAGAAUCUCGCAAUAUCAAUAUUCUGCUUUCGAGCAAUAUUCUUUGCGCCUUCUACGCGGUCGUCCUAAUCCCUUGUUCAUUGAGGUGAGGACCUUUGUUUUUGGAGGAGUUAUCUACCCUUUCUUUGCUUUGUUUAUGGAUCAAAAUCAGUCCUUAAAAUGAACCAAAAUCUUCUUCUCAACAAUAUCCCUGUCUUAUGGUAUGGAGCCUUCAAAAAAGUGGAAUAAGACUCCUAACGUCAGAAACAUUUACCUAUUUAUCUUUAUCAUGACUUUUUCUCAAUAUUCUUUUCUUUCUAUUAGCUCCAUUAAUCAGUCGCAAUAUUCUUUGCACCUUUCUUUCUCAGGAGCGGAAGCGUAGCGUAGCGGACAGCCUUAAAGCACUUGCUUUCAGCGUAGCAGAGCGGUGGGUUCGCUGGCUUCUCCCUUUCUUUUCCAGCGGAGCGGACAGGACACCUACCUUUCUUUUCUCUUUUCCAGAAAAUCGCUGCCUGAGCCCUUAAGAUUUUCAGCUACGCGUAGCGGUGCCUUCGCCCCUCUCCUUUCAGUCGAGCUUCUUCGCCCUGAUGUGAUGACUCUUUCCGUUGGUUCUUGCUGUUGGGCUCCGCCCCGUACACUGACUUCGUGUACUUACUCUGUACUUCUUAUACUUGACUUCUUGUACUUCUUGUUGUCGGGCUCCGCCCCUUAUACACUGACUUACCUCUUGUACUUACCUCUGAUUGUACUUCUUGUUUUGGGCUCCGCCCCGUAUACUUACCUCUUCUUGUUGUUGUUGGGCUCCGCCCCUCACACUUGUUCUUUCUUUCCUGCCUCUUCCACGCAAUAUUCUUUGCACCUCACACGCAACUCAUAUUGCAUUGAGCCUCUUGUUGCUGUUCUCAAAUUCUUUGCCCCUUAUACUUGCUCUUCUUCAACUUCUUGUUGUCGGGCUCCGCCCUCGCAAUAUUCUUUGCGCCUAGCCGUCACGGAUUGGUUUACGCCUAGACGGGAUAGAACGAAGAACGGAUCCGCUUUAGCCUAGAGGGAUAUUCGGAUAAGCGGAUCAGCCGAUCUUGCUGUUUUGACCUUCUUUGUUGCCUAGAAGGAAGAGACAAUUACAGAGGUGCAAAGAAUAUUGCGGUAAGAUAAGAAAGAGGGAGAUUAUGAAGAAAAGAAGCGGAUAAGCGGAUCAGCCGAUCUUGCUGUUUUGACCGCGUAGUGGGUUACGGAGAAGAAGGAAGGGUGAAGGGUGAAAGAGAGAGAAGAACUUCCGAAAGAGGUCUCGCAACCGCGUAGUGGGCAUUGACUGCAUAGCUGCUGAAUACCUAUCAUACUUGUCCGGCUUUUCAUUGUCGGCCAUAUCGAUCUGGCUGCCUUCUUGGGGCUUCGCCCUUCAAUAUUUUCAGCGGAGCGGAGUAGCAGAGCGGUGGGUUCGGGGGGCUUCGCCCGCGGAGGGGGUUUGAUCCAGGAGCGUAGCGUAGCCUUUAAAGAAGCACUUGAUCCCUUAUCAAAAAAUAGGAAGGAUCCAUAAGACAGGGAUAUUGUAAGAGAAAGGGAUAUUGUAAGAGAAAGGGAUAUUGUAAGAGAAAGGGAUAUUGUAAGAAUUUGUGGAUUCUUCUUAAUCAGUUCAUUAACGAGAAUGAAAGAAUAAUUCGGAUUGAAUAACCUGGAGGGAAAUCCAGAAUAGACCCGUAUUUCUCCGGACCAGAAACCAUAAGAAAACUCUGUUCAUUGAUUUUACCUGUCCUAGGAGUUCUUCUUUCAUUGCGUUUUCCCGGCUUUUUUGCUUCUAAAUAGGACUAAAUCAAAGAUUUCUAUUUAACGAAAAUAGAUCAAAAAUGACAGAUUUUUCAUGAUUUCUUGCUACUAUUUCUUUUCAGCUCUCCUUAUCAGUCGAGCCCAAAACCUAGCAUUUCCCUCCGCGGAUUCAUCUGAAAUCUAGCUCUGAAAUCUAGCAGAUUCAUAAUUCUUCUUUCAUUCUAGUUAUGAAAUCAUAAUGAUUCUUUCAUUCUCGUUAAUGAGCUUCUUUCUUUGCGCCUUUCUUUCUCCGUCCGAAGGACUAUCCAUAUUAAUCGCGGAAGCGGAGCGUAGCGGAAAGAGCCGCAAUAUUCUUUGCACCUUUGUUUGAUGUUUGAGAAAAGAAAAAUCGCAAGUCAAAUUCUCUAAUGGAUAGGCCUCUAAUUUAUCAUAGCGAAUAGUCCAAAAACAAAGGUCCAGAUGAAAAAUAGCAUUUUACCGACUCCUCCUACGCUAUAUACUCCUUCGGACGUCCUCUGGACUAUUCAUCCUAUUACUUCUUUGAUUUCAAGCUUCCGUCGGACUGAUUAAUGGAACUAAUAUUUACGGGAGGCUCAAAGAAUUUGAGAUCAUUCUUUCUCCCCUCCAAAAUAAUUGAGCCUCAGGCGCAAAGAAUAUUGCUCGAAGGAUCAAUGAAAUUUGAUGAUAAAGAUUAGACUGAACUUUGAACCUUGUUCAUUGUCAAUAUUCUUUGAACCUUACUAAGGAAAGAAUGAAAUAAUUACUCAAAUUGUAUCUUAGCUUUAGGCUAGUCCUAGCUUACUCAACGACGAAUACGACUCUUUCAGUGGAUAGCAGCAAGGGCCCGAUCCAACUCGCUUGUACCAGUCUGCCUCUACUUUCUUUUUCCGACACUGAAUUCUUCCUCUUAGCCUGAACCUAGGCUUUCCUUCCUCUCAUGAUAUAUUCCUGAGCAAUAUUCUUUGCGCCUCUCCCGCCUUCUAAUUGGAUCUGGACCUUUCUUUUUGGACUGAUUUUGAUCCAUAUGACUCCGGACUGAUUAAUGGAACUGAGUAUAUUCACCUUUUAUUUGCCGCCUUGAUUUUCUUCAUGGAUUCUUCAAAGAGUGGAAUCAUUGAUUUGUUAUUAGAUAUCUCUCUCUCCUAAUCCUCUCGAAACUGCACUCAUUCUGAUUCAACUUCGGUCGUUCUAAUGGAUUUCUCAAUCUGAAGCCUUUCUUCUUUUCUUAGAUAAAUGCGCUUCGCUUCGCGCAUCUGGACCCCUCCGGAGGAGCAAGGAAUAGUGCAGCGCAAAGUGCGGAUAACUUCAAAAAUCUUUGAGCCUUUAUUUAGGCCUUCGAAUAAGGAGGAGCUUACCUCUCAACGGAUGAGGUGCAGCCAACUACUUAUGAAAGAAAAGGACUGAUUUUCACAUACUUAUGUAUGAAAGGAGAACCGCUACGUUUUCCUUUUCAGGCGACUGCAACUGCCAAAACGGACCUCUUCGCGGCUUCCCUUGACGGAACGAAGAGCGGCCUUAUCCCCUGCCCUGAUCGCGAGACGUGUAUCCUGCACCGCGGAGUGGGAUGCCUAACCCAUUUAUGUCUUCGACCCGAAGCUUCUUUGUUUUGAAGCCAUGAUGGAAAAGAAAAACCUUUGAAUGUGGGUAGAAGGGAACCUCAAAUCCCUUGUUUCCCACUUUCAGUUACUUACUCAACUAACUCUUAAGGAAGAAAGGUCAGACGAUAAAGCAGACCCUAACAAGACUAUUAUUUAAGACUAUUGAGCCCACGGAGCGGGAAGAACUGAUGAACAUAAGGCCUAAUUUUGGGGGCGUCCUUAGUGGUCUAAGCCCACGUAGGGGGAAGAAAGAAAAGAGCUCCUAAUCUCUGGGUCCUCCGUUUUAGAGUCCUUCGGUUAAUUACGGAUGGUCCUACGGAUAAAUCCUCCGGACUACUUCCUUCCAUAUGGAUGGUCCUACGGAUAAAUCACCUGGACCUUUCUUUGGCCCUGCGGACGUAGGACGUAGGAUAAGAAUCCUGCGGACUCCGGACCACUAUUUAAUAUUGAAAGUAAUAGCUAUCGAUCAUUCUUUGAGCUAUAAAGCCAUUAAUCAGUCCUUCGCUCAAUGAAGAAGGUGAAAAGAAUAUUUCAUGAAGCUUACCUUCCCUUCUUCCUUUUGCAGUAAGCGCCUCAAUGAAGAAGGGCUAUUUCAUCCGGUGCUAUGGCCCUUCCCGCCCUUGAUGCUUUAUUCUCUUCAGCAAGUUAGGAUGCAAGAAAGAAGGAUGUGACUGAGAUUCUGAUUAGAUGACUUUGAAGGAAAAGUGGUACUUUCUCUUUGCUUCAAUCAUAAGAUGGUAACCCGCCCUAAGCAAGAUCGGUUCAGCAGGCCAAUUCACGCAUCUUCCGCAGCCCUAUAUGGAAAUGCUCGCCUUCGUCUUUUUUUCAUCCGGACUGAACGGUAAACUUGGGGUUCAGAUACAUCGUACCCCUAUGAUGAAAUCCGCCUAUUCCAUGGAUAAAGAAGUCCCACGUAGGAAAAAUGGUCGUUUUUGGAAGGCAAUAUUCUUCGCUCCUGCUAACCGUCCUCCGGACUAUCCGUAUGAACCUAGCCUUCGGACCAGUCCUCCGGCGCAAUUCAAUAUGCGACUUUGAACCUUUUUUUUCCUCUUUCUCUGAUGAGACUGAGUUCUCUUGUCGAUGUAGAGACUGAUGGGAAUAGGUCCAUACGAUGGAAUAGGGUCUCUUGUCAACCAGUGAGCUGUGAAGCGGCCUUCCUUCGCGACAAGUCAAUGAUUAGGACACCUUUCAGCGUCCAAUGAGUUCAGGGAAGGGGUUCAAGCCCUAAUCCAAAGUCUAUCUUCGCUAUAUCUUAACCUUAGCACUUCUCUGUACUAAGCUCUUUCACCCUGCUUUAGUAAAUGGCGCGUCUUUGAGUUCGUACUAUUACUCAGCAUGCAAGGUAUUGGUCUUUCGGGAAGAAAAUCAGGCUUGAAAGUCUUCUUUGGUGGGAGCCGUAGUUCGUAUCGUCUAUUGGCUCCCAAUUAUCAUUGCCUAUCCGCUCGAAGCCUUUAAGUAAAGGACUGGGGAAUUCCAUCAAUACUGAUCGUAGACAAUUGAGAUUAAGUGGGAAGAGUAGACUUGAAAGCGAGCGGGAAGAUGGCUGGGAGUAGCCUUUAAGAGUGCUGGUCUACCCCGAUUUUCCCAUUGAGAGGGAGGGAGCCACCCCUAUUCAAUUAGUAGAGCUCUAUUGAACCUUGGAAUUGGCCAAUCACCAAGGGCGAUCUUAGGUUAGCAUUCUCUUAGAAUAGAACGAACUCGAAAAAUCAGCGGUACGGCACAGCCGGGGAGAGCGAAGAAAGGUAGAGCACAACUAUCAUUUUCAGAAAGAAUCCCGCAUCCGAAAGAAGUAAUGCAAUUGCUUGACCCAAGAAGGUAAGGGAGAGGAAAGACCCCUACCGCUAACUUCUCUGGCCUAAUCUCCCAGAAGAAGAAGAAGAAGAUUUAGUGGUUUGAAAGUCAUAAGAGGCUCAAAGAAUGAUCGAAGGCGCAAAGAAUUUGCGAGCGACAGAUGACUGAGCAUCUGAAAAAAAGAGAAAUAGUUAUGACUUUAGAAACUUGUAAGAAAGAGAAGAUCGGCCUGGACAGAAGAGGAAAGAAGACUCCUUAUCGAGGAGAAAAGUCUAAAAAAGAUAUCAUACUCCAGCUCAUAAGCUCAUUCUUUUCUGCAAAUGAGGCGUCCGAAGGACCAAACCUUUUUGACCGCUACGCUCCUCUCCGCGGUGAUGAACCGAAAAUCUGAUAAUAGAUAGUCCGGAGGACGGCUCAAGACGAGCCGUCCGCUCCUUUUGAGUCUGAUUCCACUAAAAAAAAUGACGACGGAGCACUCGUCCUACGUAGCUUAAUAUGGGAGUCAGAAAUCCCGGGUUAAUAUGGAUAGUCAUCUGGACCUUGAUUUUUGGAGGCUCAAAGAAUCUCACGGAGGGGGAUAGUCCGGAGGACUGUUAAGGCUCAAUGUAAUAUGAGUGAAACCUAUUACUUUUCCAUAAUACUUUCAAUAAAAGUGGCAAUAAUGAAAGAUCAUGACUUCCUUCUUCUUCUUUCUGGGAGUCCGGAGGACCGGUCUUCUCUCAAAUUUCAUUGAGCCUAACUAUUCCUUGCUCCUCCAGAGGGAUCAUGACUCUCGCAAUAUUCUCAAAAUUGGAAGUGGAAUCUCACGUUCCCUAAUGGAUAGUCCUUCGGACCUGUCUUAUGGAGCAAAAAGAAAGAAUGUCAUCGUAAUCUCAUAUUUCAUUGACCGUUAGGCGCAAAGAAUAUAUUUAGAGUUUACAAAUUAGGAGAAAGUGCUGAAGAAUGAACUCAUUAACGAUAAUGAAAGAAGCUAAAAACAAAAUUCAUCCGCUAGAUUGAAGACGGAGUGAAAUACAUGAUUUUGCUAGUGAUAAGGAGUCCGCAGUCCGCAGUCCUACGUCCGCAGUCCGCAGGAUUUAUCCGUAGUCCGGAGUCCGCAGUCCGCAGGGCCAAAGAAAGGUCCAGGUGAUUUAUCCGUAGGACCAUCCAUAUGGAAGGAAGGAGGACUAUCCAUAUUCAGGAGCGGAAUCAAGAAUAGACCCGUCAGUAUCCGGACCAUAAACUCAAACUAGAACUGAUCCAUGUGAAUUUCUGGGAUAGGCUUGAUUCUUUCAUUGCGUUUUCCCGGCUUUUUUGCUUCUUUUUCAUACUUUUUCUCAUAUGGAUAUUCUACGAUAAUUGAGUGAAAAAGAAGGAAUUUUCAUGAUUUCUUGCUACUUUAUAGGCCCAAAACCUAGCAAAAUCUUGUAUUUCCCUCCGUCUGAAAUCUAGCAGAUUAAUCUUCAAUCUCCCUCUUUCUUUUGAAUUCCCAUUUUUUUCUUCUUUCAUUAUCGUUAAUGAGUUAAUUAUUCUUUUCUUUUCUUGACUUUUCACAGGCUCAAUGCAAUUUGAGCUUUCACCGCUACGCUACGCUGGAGCUACUCCGAAAGAAAGGUGCAAAGAAUAUUGCCGGACUACUGGGGGAUAUUGUUGAGAAAGAAUUAUCUUUGCGAAGGUUCAGCUUCAUUCCUAGGGCAUGUCCUCCGGACUAUUCGCUAUGAUAAAACCACUAAUACUCCGAAACCUCGAUCAUUCUUUGUCUUUGAACGCUUCUUUGUCAUUGAGUUCAUCUUUUCACCUUAUUCUUAGGCGAAGGCGCAAAGAAUAUUGAUAUUGCGGGAACUGAUUUUCAUAGCAAAGAUUCCACUAAUAGAUUUGCCGACGAAUGAAUAAUGAAUAAAGCUUGCCGAUCGAUCUUUAAAGAAAAGCCUCUCUUCAAAGAGAUUACGAGACAGAUUACCUAGCAGCCAAUUCCCUGUCUUCUCUCUCUUUCCAUAUGGAAUUCCCUUGGAGAAUAGACGAAGAGAUGUGAGAGCUUCCACGGAGAAAAAAGAUAAGCCUACUCCAUCCUCUCAAAUUCUUUGACCCAUCUUUUGUAUAGUUAUAGUAUAGCUUCCGGCUAGUUCACACCGAUAAAGGAGAAUAAGAGAUAGGGUCAAGCCUAUUCUACUCCGGAUAUGGUCUCGUAGUAAUCCCCUUCCCCUUUUCAGAUCUGAGGCCUCAUCUAAUUCCCCUCGUAACCCCUUCCGAUUCCUUUGGUAUUCUACGAGGAGCUUUGCUCCCUCGAGCAGCCUUUCUCCUCUAGGUCGAGUCGUAAACAAAGUAUAUUGCCUCUCUGGCCCGGCUCGAGCAGCUUAGUAAUCCCCUUCUCCAACCCUUUGCUUCUGAAAGAAAGAGAAAGAGAGAAUGAAAUCUCUCGCUGGACGGGUUAGCUGUGUCUAACCUUCCCCUUAGAGAUAUGAUAAGACCUCUACAACUCGGUCAGCUCAAACCAAAAUAAUAGCCGCAAUAUUCUUUGCGCCUGGACCUUUCUUUUUGCCGCUUAAUGUCUAAUCUUUCUCAAUCUUCUUUCUCACGCAUAUUUCAUUGCGCCUCCAAAGUCAAAUUCUCUAAUGGAUAGGCCUUCGAGCAAUAUUCUUUGCGCCUUCCAGUCUUGUCAACGCAUAUUGAAUUGCGCCUUCUAUAUAUUCUUUGCGCCGGAGUUAGGAGCUAUUCCACUAACGAGCCUUUGGCUUUCUUCUUUUCAUUCACAUUACCGCGUAGUGGGAUUCUUUGAGCCUUGUUCAUUGACUUUCUUCUCUAGUAAAGCUUUUUUUUUGUUCAUGCUUCGCUAGGCUUGAUCUUUUUAGUGGGAAUAUAUAGGAUGAAAGUAGCGGCAUAAUAAUAGAAAGGUGGAAUCCUUGCUUUAUCUCUUUUUUCAUCCUCCUUCCCUUUAUCCUUUUAUUCCCUUUAUCUAAGAAAGCUGAAAUCUCGUGAAUGGAUGAGGACUGAAUUCAAAGUUCAAAUAGGAGGCUCAAUCCCACGGAGGGGGAGUCCGCAAUAAUCAGCCUACGUCAGGCUUUCGGUGAUUCAUUCAUGGUGGAUAAGGAUCGGUUUUCAUAUGCACAAUGGUUGAAUACAAGGAACCUCGUUCAUGAGCUAGGUCGCGGGAUACCAUUUUCUCAUGAAAGAGCGGACACAAGACAAGAGCCGAAACUCUAUAAGAAAAUCAAGCUCCAGAUGAGUUGACGCUCGAACCCCACGAUCUUCCCCCCGACUGAAUCCGGCUAACCGAGCCAAUGAAGAGUGAUUAUAGCGCGUGGAGCAUUUUUUUUUCCUUCGUAGCUUCCCAAGAACUAAUGGGGAAGGCUGCAUGAAUAUAAAUGAGAAGUGGAAUCAUCCAUCCUCAACAAGGUCUGCAACCGCUUUCUUUCUCCCGCCUGGGUCGCUGCCUCCCUUUCUUUUAAUGGCACCAAGUCCGAGAUUCCCCGAUUACGCCAAGGAUUCCGCGCCCGGAUGGAUCCUUGAAAGGAGAGGCAAAGCCAAACCCGUAAACCGGCUUCAAACUUCCUGAAACCCGGGAAAAUGAGCCUGAGCAGGUCAGCACACUUUUCUACGAGGGAAAGGUUUCGGCCAGAUCAGUGGCAUCCGCUGAAAGGGCAGUUGCUAGCCCUCGUCUUCUUCUCAAUCGAAAGAUCGGAAAGCUCGAGAAUGAGAGAGUAUUUCCUAUUUCCUAGCGGAAUGAAGAUUUUCUAUAUGACUGUAGUGAAUAACUAAGAAAAGAUUCCAUGAAGACCAGGGAACCGCGGAGUGGGUCACGGGGCAGAGGCAUAGAGGUUAGAAAGCGCAAGACCAUACCGAAAAGAGACUGCAGGUGAAUCCGUCGGAGGAAGCCAGAUUAAGCAGAUAGGUAGAAGGGAAGGGUCAGAGCGCCGGAAGUCGGAGGAGGAGCUCUCUCUCGCUCUCCUUUCUUUCUUCUUUCAGUAGCCCUCGCUUUUCUUGCCAGCAUGCGGAUUCUUCUUCCUGGCAGCUAUCUCUCUUGCCUCAUCUUUAGCUUAAUUCAAUUAACCUACUAUAUCAAGGAUGAAAAGGCUUAAGGAUUGGAUGUCCCAUCCCAUUCUCUUAAAGACAGUGACUUCCACCCAUGAGAAAAUAGUCCUAAUAGGGGGGACGUCCCUCUUUCAUUAUCAGCUAGGAAGCAUGGCUCUCCUAACUCAAUUCAAUCUUCUUUGAACCUCCCGUACGCCCACUCGACGUCCUCCACCAGGAGCACUAUUAUCAUAAGCAAGAGAGUCCGAGGUCCCUUUCGGCAGUUGCAGCUUGCUUCGGGCUCGCUUUCUUCUUUUUCUCAAAAUUAGUUGAUUGCUAAGGCCUUUCUUCAAAAUUUCCAUGUCCCAAGAAAAAUGUGAAGACGGACGGAGACGUGAUCCCAUUCAAUCCUCGGACAGGAGGAUGGAGUGUGAAACCUCUUUCCUAACCUCGUCCUUUCGCACAAAGGCUUGAAUCCACGUAAAUUGCGAGAAGAGGUGGCCUAUUUCCUUAUUGCCUUUUCUUGUAAUAAAUCGCCAACAAUAUCCCUUAUGGAGCCUACAAUUGAGUGAUUUUUCUAUCUAUUUUCCUUGGUCUAAUCUGAACCUCUUUUAGUAGUUUCGCUCGAGCGUGAACCUCAACCGGCGGACGACCCUCUUUCAUUAUCAGCUAGGGCGAGAGUCCUACUCGAAGUUACUAAGUUACGUGAUAGAACUCAUUUCUUUAAGAGUACAAAUCAGUCUUUAUUAAGAGAAGAUGGGACUUCGACCAGUUAGUUCUCAGCCUUUCCUUUCUAUUUUGGGUCCGAUCUCAAGAUAACUUCCGCCUCUGAUUAAAGGACGAAGUUGUCUUCCUUGUCUAAGUCAUCUCUCAACAAAUCAAUAUCCCCUAUCCAUAGAUCUUUGCGCCUUCUAUAUAUUCUUUGCGCCUCCUUCUCCAUCCCUAUUUCUUUAUUUAUGGAUGUUCAUUGAGGCGUCUUGACCCCUUAUUUAGCAGAUAAAUGCGCUUCGCUGAUGAUCUCAACUUCUAUCACUUUUUUAUGGAUUCCUUGCUUCUAACCAACUCAAGAACAAGAGGUGAAAAGUCGCAUAUUUCAUUGCGCCUCCGGACCGGUCCCUAGGCUUUCUUCUUCUUUUGGAGCCUCAGUCAGACAAAAGAUUACCCGCCCCAAAGUCGAGGCCAAAGGCCCACGUAGCGGUAAUUUGAAUAAGGAAGUUUCAGACCCACUCAAGCGAAACUAGGAAAGAAGCGAUAUGGCCCCUGGUCUUGAGGGCAGGGACUUUUCCUACGAUACCAGGCGAGACUAAGCAGAAAUAGGAAGUGGAAGUCAUUCUUUAUCCAAGCCAACCGCUUUCAAGCCCCUCUCCGCUGGAUCUGUCCUUUGAGACGACUAUGCCCUACUAGUUUACUUAGUCCCUUCCCUUGUGUGCCAUCCGGAACUGCUAUCCCUUAAGGUUUUUAGCUGCUAUCCCGCCUGGGAAUCUACUGCUACCUACUCCAAUAUAAGGCUUGGGUGAAUGAUUGGAUCCCGACAUAAGUACUCUAUCCACUCCUUCUUCUUCUUAGUCUUUGACUUCAGCUUCUUACCUGGAUUCUGCUUAUUCUGCUUCACGAAAAUGAAAGCCCAGUGAGGAAGUACUUGAAAAAUGCAAUUUUCCAGCUCUUAGAAAAGUCAGAAUUCUAAUGUGAACCACUUCCUAAUCUUUGUCUUGAGUUAGUGCUUUUGAGAUUGAUGAAAGGAAAGCUUUUCGGGAGCUAGCAGUCCUUCUUCUUUGCGAAAGAGAGUAGCUCAAGCAAGUCAAUUUCCCUUAAAGAAGAUAAUGAACUAAGAGCUUUUCUGCGCUACAAAGAAGAAAGGAUAGAGAUAGAUAGUUGAAUAAGCUAGACCGCUGCAGGUGCAAAGAAUAUUGCGAAUAAGAAGAUAUUAAGAAGAUCUUCCUUCUGUGACAUUUAGCCCGAAGAAAAUCAGCCUAUUCUAUACCAGCUUCUUCUAUAGAUGAGAUAACUGGAUCAGAUGAAAUAGCAAGGGAUAUGAGCAGCUCAAGCAGCAGAUUCUAUUCUGGGCAUGAAUGUGCAACCUAUCGAAAGAAAGAGUCCUCUACUUCCCACCGUGGCAGCUAAAGUCCUUCUCAAUAUUCUUUGAGCCUCGGUCGAAACUUUCCCCUUUCUUCCUUCAACCACGUAGUGGGGUCGAUCCGAUACCUCCCUGUGGAAAUACAAGGGCGGGCUAGUCUCAUUCCGAAAGAUAGAAGAGAGAUUGCACCCCUUUUGAUUUGAUGAAAUUACAUGCUCUCCGAACUCCUCUCGUGCCUAUCGCUGUCUCUGAAUAAGUAGCCCUGCACCCAUCUUUCCUCCGCACGCACCUGCACCCUACCUCUCUUUACCUCGCCCUGGCUAACUCCUUUCCCAGUCUUCUUUCUAUAUUAUAUAACCUCUUGACUUCCUUCUUUUAUUCAAAUGCAUCCGUUAGUGGGUCAAGCUGCUUUCGCUCCUUCUCCUUACAGUCGGAAAUCUUAGCAAUAUUCUUUGCGCCUCAAAAUCAACUCGGAAAUCUCUCAAAUUGCAUUGAGCCUCAAUUCAAUCUUCUUUGAACCUCGUGCCUCUCUCUUGGACUGGGUUGUGCUAUGGCUUGAAUCUCGCAUAGGGCGAAAUUUGCACAUUCGAACUAAGAUAAGAACAAGGGGUUUGGCUGAAUUCUAAUGGUUCAUUCUCAUUCAUGAAAGAAAGCAAGGGUAAUUAUCCUGAAAAGAAGGAAAAAGGACGCGUAGGAGGAGGCUCCAUAAGACAGGGAUAUUGUAAGCCGAUAUUGCUGUUUUUACCUGAAUUACGAAGUGAAAGAAGCCGAUCUUGCUCUUUUGACCUCAUUUGGCUCUAGGAUAAAAUCACACAAUUACGGAGUGAAAAAAAGAAAGAUUAUACUUGCUUUCUCAAAUUCUUUGAGCAUCGACCGCCUUGAUUUUCUUCUUUUAUGAGGCACAAAAAGAAAGAAUGUCAUCGCAUAUUUCAUUGCACCGCGGAGUGGGUUCCAUUCUUCCCGCUCCCUUCUCGUACGCCUAAGACAAUAUCCAUUCUUCCCGCGUAGUGCUUUCUUUAUUUCUAGUCCUCCGUCCAAACAAACCGAGCACCUUUCGCUCUUUCGCAAUAUUCUUUGCUCCUACCGGUCCUCAGUCCUAUCCAUUAGAGAAUUUGAUGAGGAGGAGAGAAAAUCUUCUUUUCACCUUUCUAGUCGGACUAGAAAUCCAUUAUUUUGCACUUCUUUAUCAAGCUUAAUCUGUGGACUUGAUUUAUGGGGUGAUGAGACAUGCCCUUGUCGAGCUUCGAUAAUUCUUGAGAAUAUGAAUUCACCGCUCCUCUUGAGGCUGAAUGAAUAUGAAUAUGAGAAAGAAUUUGAUGUUUUUCUUUCUCACGCAAUAUGCUUUGCGCCAUCAAAGAAAGGUCCAGGGUCCGGAGUCCGCAGUCCGCAGUCCGGAGUCCGCAGGGCCAAAGAAAGGUCCAGGGUCCUACGUCCGCAGUCCGCAGGAUUUAUCCGUAGGACUAUCCAUAUGGAAGUAGUCCGGAGGAUUUAUCCGUAGGACCAUCCGUAAUUAACAGAAGCAGGCGAUCAGAAUGAUCGGAGUGCAAGUAAAGAAAUCCAUAUUUGUGGAUAAGAGAGGUCCUUCGGACUGGACCCUUUCUAAAUUGAAAAUUCACCAAUGGCGUCAUAAGGUGGUGCAUGGGUUCAUUCUUAGUCAAAGACGGACAACGACACACCAGGACCCAUGGAGGAUGAAAUGAGAGACCGCUAGGGAUGAGGAAUGAACUCGCCGUUUAGGAUGAUGAAUUGAGUUGCUCGACCCGUAGUUUAGCAAUUAGUGGAAUUAACAAGUCCUCCGGUUCCCGCAAUAUUCUUUGCUCCUCACUAUUUAGCGGAAACUGCUUUAUAAGGGAUCAUGACGGAUAUUAUUGGAAUCAGACUCAAGAGGAGCGGUCUCGAAAUAUUCUUUGCACCGCACCGUGGGGGAGGCGCCAUAAGACAGGGAUAUUGUUGACCUCUUAUUUUGAGUUCUUGCUUUCUCUCUAUCUUGAGGCUUCGAACCUUGACGCUUGAUUCUAGUUCACACCGAGUCAACUCUAGCUGCCCGUGAUAGGCAUCCUUCUAAGUCUCAACUUCUUAGUUUAUUCAAUAGAUACCCUCAUUCAGAGGCUUUACGGUCGAGAUCCGAUCCAAGCAAAGAAGGAUUCCUGCUGGGCAGUGGACUUGACUCAAGAGGGAUGGAUGCCGAUUCGAGAAUGCCCUAGCGUGUCUUCCCCGAAAGGCUUUUGAUGCCAUUUCGAAAUGGGCAAGAAGUUUUCUUCUGCAACGAGAGAAGAGAAACUCUCGAUCGGCCGCACUCUGGUCGCGCUUCUCGGGCUGCUAAGGCAUUGAAAGAGACUGAUUUUAUGCGCCUUUCCGGUCUCCGAUCCUGGGACUCGCCUCUCUUUCCUCUCCCUUCCUAUCCCACGGGGUUUGGCACUUUUCUCUGACUCAUUCAAGAGAAAGAGCUCUUCUUUUUCUACUUCCUCUUCUUGCUUAUUAAAUACAUUAUGUCUUUAUUGUACCUUUCUAGUUAGUGAGCUGAGCGGCGCGUAUGAAUAUCAGAGACUGAAGCCGAUCCCUUGUUGAAGAGCAAAGACAGAGCAAGACACCUAGAAGGACCUUGCUGACCCUUGAUCUGCGCCCCCCACUCCGCGGUAAAGCAUCUUCGCACCUCUCACUUACGGGAGAGCAUCUUCGCACCUUGACAUCGAAGAACUCUUGAGAGCUAAGUCCUCUCACUUGAGAAUUCCGGAGUCGAGUUCCUUCGCUUCGGGGAACCCAAGAACCCAACCAAGCAAGGACAAGAGAUCUCAUUCACAGAUACUGGUGCACGAACCCAGUACCCGAAAGGAAGAGCUAACCCAAAGCAAGAAACCUAAGAGGCACCUUGCUCCUUCUUGCUCGUCGUUCUCGGGGAACCCACACCCCCUACCUCUCAUUCUCCUGCUAUGGGGGAAGGACCCAUGCCCCCUGUACCUAAGAGCCUCCUUCUUCCCUCUUCUUGCCAUCUGUUGGACUCAACAACUCUCCUUCUCCUCACCCAAGAACAAUUCAAGGUGCUAGGUGGACCGGACCCUUUCUAUCAUUCCGAAAGCUCCUUUCUUUGCUCAUUUGACCUCUUAUGCCUUCGGGCUGGUACCGAAUUCCCUUGAUGCCUAAUUUCUCUGGCCCUACUUACCACCCUUAUAGCAAGAUAGCUAAUCCAAUCAUGUGAUAAUGGGUGAAUGAAAGCGGGUUUGACUAGUUUGAAUGCUCCAAUCCCAAGUCAAAUGGGAGCAGGUUGGAACCUAGGAGUGGGAUCCACCAUUAGGAAUUCCCAGUUAUCAUGGUUGAGCUAUGAAGUGAAUGGAAUAAAGAGGAACCUACUUACCGAUAGCGAAGCGAAUACUCGUGCAAGCGCAAUCAAUGAAGAAGGGCAGUGGUUUUCUAAAUCAAUGAACGUCCAUAAAUAGGAAGCCUAGGAAGAAAAAGAAGACAAGAGAUCAAUGAACAAGGUUCAAAGAAUAAUAGUAUUCAUGUUUUCAUAGAAAGGAAUAAAAGGAAGAGAACUAGUCCUCCGCGGAGAUAGAGAGAAAGAAGCGUAAUUGAAGGCUGAAAUUUCGUGCAAGUGCAGAGGCAAGGCUCAUUAUCGAAGAAAGCCUAUCCAACUUUCUCUCUUAUGUUUUGAAUUCCACCGCGGGAGUCAGACAGGGAAAAGACAGAGUCAGAGGUCCCAGAUAGGAGCGAAGUAGCUUUACCCAUAUUCAUAAGUUAGAAGCAGCUAUUUUGAAGUUUGAUAGGUAGGAGACAAGAGGGAAAGGCCCACCCAGGAGAGGAGUUCUGAAUAUCGGAUUAUGACUUUCGCAGAGAGAAAGAGGAUUUAUUUAGAAAAGAGCUUCAACCUAUUCUUAGCCCAAGCAAUAGGCGCCGCCAUUCUUUGAAUUAAUUCAUUAAGGAAGAAGAAAUUGAAAAAUCAUAAGUUCAUUCUAGCUCUUUCUGCUGACUUCUUCUGAUUGAGAAAACCCAGGGCAAGCCUUGUAGUCGGCUGGUAAAGGUCUGGCAGAGUAUCAACGGAGAACAAGCUGAAAGAGGAACUUUUCAUUGUGCGGGAAGACGUAUAAUAUGGACUGAAUUCAUAAGCUCGAGUCAGACUUUCAGUGCGAAUUCUCUUUUUUUUCAUGGUUUUGACAUAGCAUAGGCUGAAUGGAAAUUCCUUCUAUCUUGAAAUUCUAUUCUAAGUCGCUUCCCUUCUUCUCUCAACUGCUACAACUCUCCGUCUUCUGAUGUUCCGCUCCGUCGCAAAUUCUUUGGUCCUCCUACGCUUAAGAUGGGACCGGCAAGACCCUGCAAUAUGAAAAGCGCCUGUCUCGCCUCUCCUUUCAGUCGAGAGCCUCCUUCUUCUUCUUUAAAAAGAAGGGUCCAGGUUUCAUAAGACUCCUUCUACGCGGUCUCGCCCAGCUUUUGAAAGAGAAAGGGCGGGCCUCUCGGGAGGAAGCAUAUGGUAAUGGGAAUUCCGCCCACCUACUAUGCCUUCUUCCCUACAAAACGGGGAGGAUAAUUCCACUGAUAGUAAAAGGAUGCCGGAUCGAGCGAGUUAGGGUGGGAAAGAAAUAGGGAUUCUUUGGAAGGAAGAUAGCUCCAGGUAAAGCUACUCAUCAACCUCCUCCUAAACUCAUUUGUACGAGGGGAACCGCGGAGGGAGUGGGCAAAUGCCUUCUUUCUUAGUGAGAAUCUCGUUUUUAGUGAAGCCCAAGGCAGCAUGAUUUCUUCUUUGAACCUCUCUUUGGGCAGAAAGAACUGGCGAGACCAUUUUGAUCCAUUGAAUUGUUGGGGAAGCAGAAAGGUAAAGGUAAGAGUCCGCUCGAUCAAUCCCCACUACGCGGUAAGCUGAAAGAUGCGAUCUGGCCGUCGGCCUAUUUCUUGAUUUCUUUCUUUGACUUUUACGUGGGAUGCAAACUAAACCAUUAGCACAGGCAUUCCAGGCAAUGAUUCGACUUCUUAUCUUGGGGAUUCAACCCCUAUUUAUUUAUGGAUGUUCAUUGAGCGAAGGACUGAUUAAUUCCACUGAUUUCUAACGCAAUAUUCUUUGCUCCUAGCAAAAACUCAAAUUUCAUUCAGCCUUCUGACUGUCCAUAUUAAAUUAAGGAACUGAGUAGGCGGGAGAGAAAGCAAUAGCUCCACCUGUUCGGGAUAGGAAUUCAGGAGAGACCAACUCUCCUCUACUUAAAGUAGCUGCGGCUGUUGAAGGAUCCGUUGAAGCUCUUGAAGCAGAGGUCUUCUUCGACUCCUUCCUUCCUGAAUGAAUGAUAAGGGGCUUCUUUCCUAAUUCAAAGCCUAGGACAAUGAAUGAAUUGCCUUUCCCCUCCCAAUUAAAUUAAUUAACAAAGACUAUAAACAACCUACGGAAAACCAUAGUAUUAAUCAAAGACAAAAAGAAGAAAGCCUAGGAUCAACCCAGAUCCAUUGACAAGAAAGCGCAACUUCGCAAUAUUCUUUGCACCUCCUAACCUAACCAUUAACAACCACUAGAUAAAGACCUCCGGAGCGGUGGAAUAUCGAGGUCCUUUCAGAAAGCCUAAAGAUGAAAUAAAAGGAUAGGCUUUCAGUAUUAUUUUGAGGUUUCAAGUCCCGCAACAAGGCUCCAUAAGACAGGGAUAUUGUAAGGGGUCCAGAUGAGUCAGAAACAUUGAGACCAGGCGCAAAGAAUUUGCGAAGGAACCGAGAAAUGAAAGCGAAAACGAAUAGUCCAAAAACCAAGGCGCAAAGAGCGACGUAGUGCUUUCUUUAUUAAUCCUUCUCCGCCGCAACAAGAGAAGUUCUAGGAUACCGAUAUACCGCAAGAAUGCAAUUCCAUAAACAAGUCGGGAAAUAGAGGGUUGGACUAGCUAGCCGCCCAAUAACUCACAGGUCUUUCUUUCCUUAUUCAUAUCAGAAGCAGAAGAAAGGGAAGAGGAUAAAGUCAUCAAGGAAAAAUCAUGGCAAUAUUCUUUGAACCUCCGGACUAUCCAUAUUAGGCGGACUUCGCCUUAAGACUCCUUGCUAUUGGGUCCGACUAGAAACUGAAAGUAGGAAAGCCUAUCUUUCUCUUUCAGACUCUUUAAAGUCAAGAGGGUAAAGCAUAUUCUAAGCUCUCCCUUUAGCUCUCGCACAAGACCCCUUUAUUUAUGGAUGUUCAUUGAGCCUUGUUCAUUGACUUGAUGCGGUAGGCGAAGAAGCCAUCCAGUAGCAAGCGCUUGAGAAUGAGUCGAAGGCAAAAUCCUUCCGUUUUUGUUUUGAGUAGGCGCUAUCUAAGUCAAUCCGUGCUAAAAGGAAGGAAUAGAAAAGGAAGCCUUGGGCAUAAUAGUCAGAGAGAGUAAGGGAAGUCCUGCUUUCAAGUGCUUUAUCGUAAGGGUCUGAAUAGGGUCCACCAGUAGCUGCUCUUAGUAAGACCAGUCACAGGGAUAUAUCGCUCAAAAUUCAAUAUCAAAGAGAUUGCAUUGAUACUUAGACUGAUAGCGAGCCGGAAGAGCAAAGUGAUGAAUCAGUCGAGACAGUCUUAGCUAUAAUCUCUGCCCUUACCGUGGAGUGGGUAUCUUUUCUCGUCUGAAAAGAGAAUAGUCUUCCUCUCUUUGUGAAUUUGCAGGUUUGAGAUUAGAAUGCCAUACUCACCCUGCAACUUACAGAAUCCGCAGCGAAAGAAAAGAUUCAAUCUUAUUCGUAAUGCUGGCUAAGAGAUUUUCGAUUCAGGGCGGGAUGGGACUGUAAAAUGGGUGAGGUAGGGUCUAAUCUUCGCUCUACGAGAGAAAGCUGAAAGGCCCGCUAAAAGUUGGAGAAGGAGCGAAAGAUAUCACGAAAUACCUUGAUCAAAGAGCAGACCCAAGGAAGGGAGUGCUUCGAUUCCCUUUAGCUCUUAGCUCUACGGAUGACUAAGAAGGCAGGAUCAAAGCGGGUGAGAGCAGGAGCACUGCUCGUCCUGGCAUAGCCGUAUGAUUUCGUCACAGAUUGUAUUCUCUCAUCCCGGCUUGUAAUGGCGAAAGCUAGAUUUCAUGGACCAGGUUGCCCUUUUUAUUCUUUCAAAGACUAUUACAAAGAUUACUCUCCGUCGCACUCACGGUCAUUAGUCUGGUUAGCUCUUCCUGAUAGGUUGAAAAGGAUGAAAGCCUUCUGACUUUCCUGACCCAUAGUCAGAUUUUUCAUACUCUGGAAAUCAGAUAAAAAGGUGAAAAGAAUAUUGACGGUUGGGUUCCUGGACAAAAAGGAUGAAAGUCGAGAAUUUCUUGGGUCCAUGUGAGCUAAGAGGUUUCUGAUGAGUGGUAGAGCAGUUGAUCUAAGCCUCAGUGCGGAUGAUGAAUUCUCUGACACAUGGCCAUCUUCCCUCUUAUUAAAAAGAAAAAGCCUACUUUGCUUUUCGGGUAUUGAGCUCACUGGGAAGCCUUCGCUUGAACCCUCAUUGCUACCGUCCUUUGACUUCACGGAAGAUUUGGUAUCCAACCUCUACCUUUUUUGGUUGGCAUUCCCAUUAUUCUUUCUACUCGUCUUCUUGGACUGGACUUCGGUGACGAAGGGAUCGAAGAUUUGGAUGAUCCAAGGUCGCGGCCUCCCAAGUUCUGCUGAUUGCCUGAUAUGGCUAAAUUCGAUGGUUCUGGAGAUCCCAAAGCCCCUAUAUUUCAGAAUAUCUUCUUGCGAUGAAGACCACUACUCUCAUCACGAAGGAGCGCAUUUCCUUCUUUGCUCUCUUUUUGGAAGGAGGAGCAAUGCGGUGGUACUAUAGCUUGGAUGCCAAGAUAGAGGUGGGGCGAGAUGGCCGAAAUCCGGAGCAAUUUGGAUACAAUGUCCAGCUUGAUCUUACUUUGCCUGAACACUACCAGGCGGCUCCCAAAGAUCUUCUUCAUUCAUUUCCAGAUGGAGUGGACCUCUUGCAAGCCUUCGCAAGCCUGCGCAGGGUAUCCCUAUUAUAGUGGGACAAGCCAGGUUCCUUCGUCAGUAAGGAAGAGACCGAGCCGUAGUAUAGUCCUUGAUGUGGUAAAUCUUCCUAGCCCCGGUAUUACGCAAAAUGUAGGAGUAUCCUAGCUUGCAGAAGAAGAAAAGAAAGAAGAUCUAGCCCAUAGUAAUCUAAUAGGAUUUACUCAUCAUAAAAAGGAAAGAAAGAUUUCCUUAAUCUAUUGAUAUUAGAAUAUUGAAGGGAUUUAUCCCCAAGAAUAUCCCGUCCUUCGGACAGACGGGUUAAUAUGGAUAGUCCUUCGGACUGGCACAAAAGUCAAUCAAAGAAAAUCAGAAUGAACUCAUUAACGAGAAUGAAAGAAUCAUUAAGAAAUGAAAGAAGAAUUAUGAAUCUGCUAGAUUUCAGACUAGUCCUUCGCGGAGUGAAAUCCCGGAAAAUGCUAGGUUUUGCCCAUAGGGAAGUAGCAAGAAAUCAAGUCAAAUGCCUUCUUUUUCACUCAAUUAUCGUUAUUUAUCAAUAUGAGAAAAAGUCCUAUUUAGAAGCAAAAAAGCCGGGAAAUAGCAAGGCAUUGUCCUAUUUGAUUUUCGAAAUUCACAUAGUUUGAUUCUUGUUUGAGUUUAUGGUCCGGAGAAUUACGGGUCUAUUCUUGAUUCCGCUCCUGAAUAUGGAUAGUCCUCCUUCCUUCCAUAUGGAUGGUCCUACUUCGGUUAAUUACGGAUGGUCCUACGGAUAAAUCCUCCGGACUACUUCCCUCCAUAUGGAUGGUCCUACGGAUAAAUCCUCCGGACUACGGAUAAAUCCUGCGGACUCCGGACUCCGGACUACUUCUGUUAAUUACGGAUGGUCCUACGGAUAAAUCACCUGGACCUUUCUUUGGCCCUGCGGACGUAGGACCCUGGACCUUUCUUUGAUGGACUUCUUUAUCCAUUAGUCGUUAGGCGCAAAGAAUUUGCGAAAGAAGGUGAAAAGAAUAUUUCAUGAGUGCAAGGCUGAAACAUUAGAUACCGGAAGCCUACGGCUGGGUCAAGACGAUCCAUAAGACAGGGAUAUUGUAAGGCGCAAUUCAAUAUGCGAGGUCAAAUCAAUCAUUUUCAAGGUAGAAAGAAAAGCCCACCUAGCGGUCUAGAGGUAGAGGAGCCGGUCUAGGCUGGAGCUCAUCAGUAGUAAGAGGAGAGUCAUCAGUCGAUGUUUCAGAAGUAGCGGAAGUAGCCCUUCCUUGGUCUUGCCGCAAACAAAUAAAGUGGGUUUUUUCCUAUCCCCUCUUUUUUUGAAGGAGGAGAAGGGCUUGAAAGAGUUCACGAGGGGAAGGAGUAGUGGCUCGACCUCUUCUCUAAUAGAAAGAAGUGGAAAAGCAGAAGAGGAAGUACGAAAAGAAUAAGCCGGAUAACCAGAUACCGGGGGAAGAGAAUGCGAGUAGGUUCUCAUCAGUCUUUUUAUUAUCCGUAGUUUUGAAGAUGAAAAGAAGAAAGAGUGCGGUUCGGGUAGGAGCUGCUUCUUAGUCAAGCAAUUCCAGGGGUUUCGUUUACUCUAUAGGCCUAGCUUACUAAUCUAACUUCAUUCCCGAGGGCUGGCCGAGAGAGAGCAUUAGGAAUGGGAGAUUCUACCGCGGGGGGCCGUAGCAUCACUCCUUACUCCUUAAGAGCCGCGUAGUGGGCAUCAUUUCUUAACAAGAAGAAAGCGCAAAGAAUAUUGCGGAAAAGGAGAGGUUCAAAGAAGAUUUCCGCUUGAUCCAUAAAAUAGAGAAAGGCUUUAGUUUACUUGAGGCAGAUUUGCUUAGCUCUUCGUAGGACCCCACGGAGCGGAGAGGGAUGAAAUAGCGAGACCAAUCCAUAAAAUCAGAGGAAGAGCGACCAAGAGGACGAAAUGCAGCUCGACUUCCAGAGGCAUGAGACCUUUUUCCUGUUAAGUCAAAGUCGGGUGCGGGUUCCUUUUCUAGCCAGCCCGCCAACGGAUGGAAGUUGAGUUGCUAUCAUGACUUCCUUCUUCUUCUUUCUGGGAGUCCUCCGGACCGGUUCUUUCCUCAAAUCAGAGUUCAAAGGGCAACUGCAUUCCUUUUCCUCGUUCACUCGGUCUAUAGAAAUAGUUCAUGGCUAGGGCUACUAGUCGUCAUACUUCUUCUUUGAGAAAGAGAUGGAACUCGUUCUCAUUGUUCAUAUUGCCGCUAUAUGAGUGAAUUCACGAGAUUCAUAAGAAAAUAAUCGCUUUGCAACACAACAAGAGCGACAGCCUCAACCGGAACAAGGGCCUCAAUGAACAAGGGGUUAGGGAUUGAAUCCGAUCUAUCCUAUCAGAAAGAAAAAUCAGAAUAAUUCAUCGCUUAGCUACUCCAAGACCAAGCACUUCCUCAACAGCUAAAUGCCACUGCUGGUCGAACUGCCGGUUCUGGGUCUCGUCUUUGGUACUGGGCGAGCAGAUAUAUACCUGGGAGGGAUUCGGCAGAAUCAAGCAGUUUGCCUUCGGCCGAUCCUGAAGAGGUAGGGAAUUUGGGGUAAGCAAAUGCAAACUCUUUCCAUCCGUGAAUGAAUAAAGCCGUCUUCAAUGGAUGUUUUUGUACGCUUGUACGCUUUGAUGCUACUGAAUUUAUAUCAAAGCACAAAACAGGGCUCAAAUAACCCUAAGAACUUGCCAAGUUCCCACUUCCAUCCUAGUUUGGAUUGGGUUUUAUGCUACUGAAUUUAUGCAAAAACAAGGUAUUUCGAUUGUUUUCUUGCAUCCGGCCUAUAGCUCAAAGUGACUAAAUUGGCAUCCUUCGAGUAUCGUUCUUAAUAGUUUCGUCAGUCAUAAAAAACCGUGGGAACUAAUGGCCCCACUCCGCGGUGAGAACUUGCGAUGCAAACCAUGGAAGAUGCAAAUCGGUAAAGGAAUGAACCCAUUGACUCAAGCGCAAGAACUGGUAGAGACAGCAGUCCCCAACCGUGGAGGAAGGAAGUCGAGACUCCUAUACAUGAAUUUCAGGCGGAAGACAGAGCGGUUCAAACUUGCAGAGAGAGCGCAGAGUUUUUGAAUAGUCGAGUAAAUCAUAAGGCUUCUUCCCUGUCCGACCCGGAUCCUUCUCAUUCCCUUGCUCGAGAGAGAGAUUCCGCCGAGACUUUUCUACUACUUCUCUGAUAAUGACCGGGCCGCUGCCUCUUGGGAGAGCUGCUUUAGCGUUGAGACCCCUUUUUGUACUUAUUCCUCGGGUAAGCCGUUGAGACCCAAGUCCUACGGGAUUCUGGAGACCGAAUUUCAUAGAAUUCCGCCGACCCCACUAAUUCAGAGACAGCUUCUGAUCCCUUCUAGCCGAUACCGAGACAGAGACUGAUUUCUUCUUGUCUAGCUGCCGAAAGAUAAUAGUAAUAGUACUUCUCCUCUUCCGUAGGUCUCUCCGCAAAUUCUUUGCUCCUCUGACGGGGACUGAUGCGGAUACAGUCUAUUCACACCGCGAGUAAACUCCAACUAAGCAGCAAAGACGACUUCUUUAGCGGUUUCAAGUCGUCCACUCAACAAGGGUCGAGCGAGUCCCACUAAGAUCCUGCCUUUAGGUAGAGCGGCUUCUUUCACUCCGUAAUUCAGCCGAUCUUGCUGUUUUGACCUCAUUUGGCUCUAGGAUAAAAUCACACAAUUACGGAGUUCAAGUCCCCGCUCGGCCUCUAACUGGUAUGAGAUAAUAUAAUACCGACUGAAGACCCUCUUCUGAUAGCUUGAGGUCUAACCUAUCCUUCUAGGUCUCGCUUACUCAUGCAUUCUCAUACCGGGAAAAAGACCAAGUCUUCGAGGUUCCUCCUCGGAACCAUCUCCUAACCCUCCCACGGGGCGGUCGAGCCUAAUCUAGCCUACGAUGGAUGAGGGGAGAUUUCCUCUUCUUCUCCGGAACUCCAAGAGAGUAGCUUCCCCGCCGCAAGAGAUAAUUCAAGGGAUAAGGUCCGAGCCUUUUCCAGGCUGAUUUUCGGGAAGAGAUUCUUUCUCCAACCUAGCCUUUAAAGUUCUAGGUCUUACCCCUACGUGGGCCUUGUUCAUAGAAUGAAAUACCGGAGAACUCCUAAUCCACUCUACUAGGUCACAUCCAUCCGCGCCCUUGGAUCUGAGAACUUCUCCUUCAAGUUACCUUGCCGACUCCCCUACUUCAGGUUCAGGGGACCCUACUCUGACUUCUUAGUUCUCGCUUGAAGUGAGCACUUCUUCUUUCUCUGGAAGUUACCUGUGGCCGGUCAAUCCGGUAUCCCUUUCAGUUAGUCAUUCAAGGGGAAGGGAUUUCACUCUACGGGAUAGACUUCUUCGUCUAACUCUAGCUGAGGCUUCUCGGGCGGGCUAAGAGGGAAUUCCGCUUCCUUUUCUUUCUUCUUCCCUUGCCGGUGCUUUCGGAAACUUAGAAUAAGCGAAUGAAAAAAGGUCGGCGACCACCCUACUAAUUCUGGUCUCGGCCUCGGGAUAGACUUCCAAAGAGAAAGAGAGAGGGAUGAAAGAGGUUAUGCACGGCGUCCAAUGGGAUAGUUUGACGGGAGAUCCUAUGAGACCCUUCCAGGUGGGGAUCCCUCUGCCUCUGAUGAAUCAGACUCCGCCUGCUCCGGUACCGCACCCCUCCUGCUCCGUGGGCAUUGACUCUUAGGCGAAGGACUGAUUUAUCAAGCUUAGUCUCCUUUCGUACUCUGACUCUUGGGAGAGCUUAUUUACGGGAGGAGAUCUGUAACUCCAACAAGUCAAUGAUUAGGGGAGCUUUCUCUUUCUUCUGAAACCCCUUGUUCAUUCAGGCUAGGCUUUCUCUUCAAAGUCAGAGCUAUCCAAAAUCUCAUAUUUCAUUGACCCGCAAAGAAUAUUGCGAGAAGAAGGCUGAAUUCCAUUUUCGAGUAGCCUUAGGCUCAAUGCAAUUUGAGUUGCGAAAGCUGCUCAAACUUGUGGUAAAGGGUAGAUUCUACGCAUAUUGAAUUGCGCCUCAUCUAGAGCUUUUUUUUGUUUUCGGAGCUUCUUUACCGAAGGCGUCACAGGUCCGAAGGACUAUCCAUAUUAACCUGCGACUGAGGACCUGUCUCGCAAUAUCCUUUGCUUUGCGCCUUAUCCAUAGAUCUUUGCGCCUCUCGCUUCGCGCCUAGAGAAAGAAACUGCCGAUUUCCUUCCGACCACGCGUCCUCCUUCUGACCGUCAAAGCUUAGUGAUUUACUUAGGCCUUUCCCGCUACGUGGGCCGAUGCGCUGGUGGGGACGGACGUCUAUGAUCAUCCUCUUCUUUAUUGCUUUCUGCCUCAGAAAGGUGCGGAUUCAGUCCCUUGACCCGAGUCCGAGUCGAGCAGCCGAUCCAUGGUUGGGGAGUUUGAAUGCUGGGGCACGUGCAAUCACUUUUCUUUCAACUUAAGGAAAUUGUCCUCUUCUCGAGCCUAACCUAGGAGUGGGGCCUAAUUAGUCGAUUUGACUCUUGGGAUGAUUCCACGUGAUCGGAUAGUCAAAUACCGGGUUUGAAUGUGAUUCGAAUGAAAGCAAGGGUCGAAGCGCGAACAAUGAUAGAUAGGAGGAUCGCUUCGGGUUAGGGGGCAGGGAGAGAGGGUAUUUGCCCGAUAUGAGCAAGACCUAUUAAGGAAUCCGCAUAUCUUAAGCAAAUGCUCACAUCGAUUUAUGCGAGGCGCGAAGCCUUCACCUUUUCCCAGCUUCGAUUCCUUACCUCGCCUAUUUUUUGGAAUCUUUGCUCCGAAGGCUCUCAGAAAUUGAGUUCUGUCCGUAGGCUGAUUAUUUCAGACUGAAGCUCUCAGAAAUUGAGUUGCCGUAGUAGGGUUGAAGACUCCGUCCUUUCUAUCUCCUUCUACUCAGUCGACUGAAUAUUCAUUGACCCUCUUAUCGACUACCUCUCUCCUCUCACAAGAUCCAGUCAAUUAAUUACAUACAAGAGACCGCGUAGUGGGCCAUAGAUCUUUGCACCGCUCCGUGGUCCUCCGGACUAUCCAUUAGAUGGAAGGUGGGCUUUCUUCUUCUUCCGAAAGAUUAUUUAAAAGGAUAUGAAGAGUCAGUGGGAGGGGGCUCUUUGCACUCCGAAAAAGUGCUCGUAAAAGAUAUUCAAUAUAAGUAGUAAUUCAAGCUCUUCUUCUUUAUUAAUUCAAGAUUCUUUCUCUGCUCAAGUAAGGAAAAGAUAUUGAUUACUAUCUCUCUAUCUCUCUUAUAAUAGAGACCGAAAGAAAGGGGAAAGAGAUGGUACCCGCCAUUUUCCCGUGGGUAUAUUGAAUGAAAGUGCCUCUCGUUAUAAAGCUAGAGGGUCGCGCGGUCCAUUCCCAUCAUGGGAGUCACGGCAGUCUUGGGUCACCUUUCGGCUGGGGGUCCAUUUGUGCCUAUCUGAGGCGGAAAAAUCCCUGUGGGGGAAAUUUGCACUCGGUGAAGGAAGGCCGGCUGCACUCGUGAAAAAAAGGAGUCUUUACAGGGCGGCCCCACAGCGGCCUACUUAUCAAAAGGCUCCGAGAGCACGAUGAGUGGCUCGAUGUCGGAUCCCAUGCUUCAAAGUGCAGUAGUGCUAAGGUAUCCUAGGAUGCGGCAAAUAUGGGAAGAUUCCCACUGCGAGAGAAAAGGCUUGGGGAGCGAAUCGCAGGCUAUCUUUGGUGGCCGGACCCCUAUAAAUGUUCGGAACUUGGGGAUAAGUAUUUCCUCCUCGAUUGGGUGGCCUUAGUCUGCCACAGGCCGGUCAAGACUAGGCAACUCUUGAUCCCAAGUACUCAAAAAACCCUCUUCCUUACUAGACUUUCAAGGGUACUACAAGUAUACAGGGGAAGGAGCAAUAUUCCGGAUGACUGAUAUGAUCUAUGGGCGAUAGAUGAAUUUAGAGAGUCAGACGGCGAAUGGGGUUCUCAGCCUGGAGGAUAUUUGGCCCAAAUGUCAAAUUUUCUCUUUUCUCAGAAAGGAAAUGUGCCUAUUAUCUUUUUUGGGAAUGAGCUCCCACGGAUCUUUAAGGAAAGGGGACCGUAGGCCGAAAGAAGAAUCCCCUUACAUUUUCUAUCGCAAUCUUCGAAGCUCGGCUGAUCUCGACGUUUUGGAAGUGUUUAGAAAUCCGGGCGGGCACCCAGGACCAGAUUGGCAACCCCCCCAUUUUAUACAUUACGCCUUCAUUCAUUCUUUAGAAAGAAAAAAAAGACAUAGUCAUAGAGCGGUAUAUCUCUGUCGGGCUUCUACAAAUAUUGGGGAAGGAAUACCUUCUUUUCUUCCAUUAGGAAAGAGAAGAAAGACAAGAAGACGGACAAACUUAUAUGGCACAUUAACCAGAAUAAGUUGGGAGAAGGCGGGAUGAACCUUCUCAACUUUGCCUUAGUCCCUAUCCCGGGUAAAGAAAGAGGUGGAAUAAUCUGAUUUCAAAAAAGAAGGUAAUCUUCAUAGACACUGGAACCCAGUGCAGCCUUGACUACAUACAAUGGCCAUAUUUCAAGGUACGGGCUUAGGGGCGAUUCCUGAAAUUUCAAUGUCAAAAUCCUAUAAAUGAGAUAUUUACGAUGAGGAGAACAGUCCCCGCCCUACCUACUAAAAGGGUUUAGAGAACCUUUCAUUUCAAGUCAGAAGAGCGAUCAGGGAGACCACGAUGAAGGAAGCCACAUACUUGUCGGGGGUCCAGCACUGGACUCAACUUUCUUUUCUUUUUGCUUCAGAGCAUUUGACGUCAGGUUGCUCGGCUCUCUACAAGAGAGCCUUUCCUCAGAUUCAAAGAUUUAGAAGAGAAAGAGCGGAUAAAAGGGGGUGGGGCUGAAGUUUCUUUAGUUGUGGAAGCCUAAGCCAGAAUGAAUUACAUAAGAAAGGAAGACAGCCUCAUCGGUCGUAUUCAUACCGAGUCAAUAAGCUUUACGCUCAAUGAGAUCUCUUCAUCUUCGGUUUGUUCCGGGAUCUCUAAAAAAGAGAGUAGGCUUCUGCCUCUGGGCGAAAUUUUGGAGUCUCGUCUUUGGUAAAAAGCUUAGUGAAACUUCCGACUCUCGAUCUCCCGUCCACGGAAAAUCUGUGACUGACUCAACUCUGAAUCACUAUCCUUCAUUCUUAGGAGUGCAAUGAACCCACUCCGCGGUUUCCCAGUGGGUCCUACUUCGGUGUCCUACUUCCGGAUGGUCCUACUUCGGUUAAUUACGGAUGGUCCUACUUCGGUUAAUUACGGAUGGUCCUACUUCCAUAUGGAUAGUCCUACUUCCUUCCAUAUGGAUGGUCCUACGGAUAAAUCCUCCGGACGUAGGAUAAAUCCUGCGGACUCCGGACCCUGGACCUUUCUUUCUUUAAUGGAUAGUCCUACGGAUAAAUCCUCCGGACUCCGGACGUAGGAUAAAUCCUGCGGACUGCGGACCUGUCCAAAACUUUCUUUCUUGACCUCGCAAUAUUCUUUGCACCUCCGGCUCAAUUUCAUCUCUAAGCUCCGUGGGAACUGAAAAAUGGAGUUGGCUUUUAUGUGAUCAUGCAUUUUCUGAAUGAAGGAUUGAUAGUUUUUUCUUGGUUUAGGUGACUCAAUUGAAUCUCGCCUUCUACGCCGGCUGGGUCGGAAUCUGAAUAUGUGGAUGAAAGACGGAGGAUCGGAAGACUCGCUGCCUUUCUGCCUUCUUGCCUCAUCCCGGGUAGGGCAUUUCUAGGGGGCAAGCUGAAAAUUGAGAUGUGGAUCCUUCAAAGUAGGCGUUAAAGAUGAACCGACGCAAUAUUCUUUGCGCCAUUAAUUCCAUUGAAUUUGAACUAAAUAAGAAGAACGAAUCUUGCAUUGAGCCUUUGUUUUUGCUGCAACAUCAACGGAUUCAGCCACUUUCAACCUCAAAAUAAUACUGAAAGAGCCAAGUCUGAAGUACGGAUUUACGAAGGAAGGGGAUUAGAUUGUUCUAACCGCCUGUCUGACGCUUGAAAUUUCUCUCUUUUUUUGGGGGUACCCGAAAGGCGUCCUCAGUCAGAUGCCACUUUUCUUGAAUAAAGCGAUAGCCGAGAGAGUCGACUUCCCUCGUUCUAAGAUUACUUAAGGCUUCCUUCAAUCCAUUCGAUAGCCUCUUGUCUUCUUACCGCUACGUGGGGAAAGCGAAAGACAUAGGCUUGAAAGAAAGAAAAGUUCAGACCUUUCCAUGGCAGUCUUAAAUAGAGCAGAGUCAGAGGCAAAAGGAUUUGACGCAAGUUGAAGCUAAGGAUCGACAGAAAGCUAGGUGUCCUUCUCCCUUCUUAUCCUAAGGAACUCGCAGAGUUAACGAGAUCUCGCAGAUAUAUAGCCAAGUGAUUCACCACGCCAAUAGGUGGGUUUUGAUAGUCAGUCAGAAAUUCAGAUAGAAGGCACCGCUGGAACUUGUGCAUGCUUAUACUAGGGAAAGAGCUCUUCAAUUCAUUCCCCGCUCUCCUGAGGUCGUGACAAGGUUCAAAGAAGAUUGAAGUAGUGGGCUGCGCUUUGGGGCUUUUGGCUAUGCGUAGAUAUUCUGGUAAGACCAAUAUAGUACGGAAGCAUCUCGGAUGAAGAAGAGGUGCAAAGAAUAUUGCGUUGAGGACUCGGAAUGAAUAAAAAGAAUGCCUGUUGAAUGAUCAGUUUCUCUUGAAUAAGCUAGAUCUCUUGUUCCAUUUCAUCAACAAUCGUAAGCGAAAAGAUUAUAUAGAUAGGAGUAGGAGCAAUCUGGGGAUUCAAAGAGGCAGGUCGCAGAAGAGAAGAAAGCCUAGGGCUCUCAAAUAGAGAAAAAAGGUAAAUAGAGGCCAAUAGGCUUACGACGACGCGACUUCUCUUUCUGAAACUUGAUGGAAGGACUGACGGCUUUCCUCUUACUAUUACGUCUUAGGCCCACGUAGCGGUAGGCUUUCGCAGCUGCCGAAACCUCUAAGUCUGAUCCUUACCCCUUUGACUUCUGAAUUACCGCGAGUACUCUUUAUGGAGUCUUUUCCCUUUUCUUGGUCGUAUGAGUCCUUCGUCUUGGAUCUGGCGGGAAAGCCUCAUUCAUUGAUCUAUUUCUUAGAAAGAAUAGCUUAUUCUUAAGAAAGCGGACGGACUCAGCCUUUUCUUCUCAUGCCCUUCUUUAUGCCUCUUCCUUCGAUCUCCGGCGUGCGGGUCGAGCGCGUCAAUAUUCUUUUCACCUCUUUUCCUUGCGAGUUUGUCCAGUUAGUUCGGGAACCUAGGCUUUCUUCUUCUUUCCCAUGAGAACUUCCUAGUGAAUCUCGUAUUAAUCAGCAUCAAAAUCUCAAUCGCAUAUUUCAUUCCGCCUCCAACACGCUCUUUGCUUUGAGCAAUAUGCGCCUCCGGCUUAAAUAAGCGAGUCAUGAUUCCGCUAAAGUUUCAGACCUUAGGCUCCAUAAGACAGGUCCGAAGGACUAUCCAUAUUAACCCAGAUUUCGAGACCGCUCCUCUUGAGUCUGAUUCCAAUAAUAUCCGUCAUGAUCCCUUAUAAAGCAGUUUCAGACCUUAGGAGCUAUUCCAAAAACGAGCUCUUAAAUCCCCACGGUGCGGUAGUUUAAUCUUUCAGCCUUGCACUCCUUUCUUCUUUUCCGAAAUAUUCUUUCGCCUGAAUCCAUAAAUAAAUAGAUAGAAGUCGGGGCUCCAAUCAAGGCGGUCGAUGAUUCGGCGUAAAAGUUGUUUUCAUCGCUUUAAGAACAAAAAAGACAGUCUUAGCCGCCAUUCGAAGGAUCGGAUAGAAGCUGCUCUCUUUCUUUAUUCCUUGUUCAUAUCCUCUUAUUAGUUACGGGUUACGAAGGAGAGGGGUUUUAGGGGUUUAUGGACUUGACACAGAGUCAUCCCUCUCUCUAAGUAUUAAUUAGUCUAAGUCGGUGCUAUCCCAUUCAGAUAGGGAUCCCUUUAUCCCCAGACAAAUCUGGCUCGGAACAGUAAUAAGUAUCAGUAGCCACAGAAAAGGGGGAAGACUUGGAACUUCAAGCAGAAUCCGGAAAAAUAAUGGAUUUCUAGUCCUUCGCCUAAUGAAUAUGGGGAUCUGGACGGCGGAGCAAAGAAUAUUGCCUUCCACUUUGAGAGGUUAUGCUAGAUUAUAUAUAUAGUAAAUAGGUGGUUAGAGAAUGAGUCAGACGAAGGAUCCACGUAGAAGCCGCUAUCCCGACGGUCUGUCUUGAUCAGGUGCGGAUGCUACGGAGCGGCCAAAGACUGGAAAGGAGAGGGGCGAAGCGAAUGGAAGAUCAAUCCUCGGUUCCUAGAAAAAGAAAGCGGAAAACGCAAGUCAAAUUCUCUAAUGGAUAGGCCUUCUCGCAAUAUUCUGCGCAUCUGCGUCCUUCUUUUUCGCAUAUUUCAUUGCGCUGUCAAAAUGAAAUUAAUGGAAUAACUUCGCCUAAACUUGAAAGAAAGGUCCAAAGCCCUUCGUUAAUUACGGAUAGUCCUACUUCCUUCCCUCCAUAUGGAUGGUCCUACUUCGGUUAAUUACGGAUGGUCCUACGGAUAAAUCCUCCGGACUACUUCCCUCCAUAUGGAUGGUCCUACGGAUAAAUCCUCCGGACUACGGAUAAAUCCUGCGGACGUAGGACUCCGGACUACUUCC